Molecule: ribosomal RNA, 253 nt
Filed under: uncultured bacterium
Lineage: Bacteria
Description: partial 16S ribosomal RNA
Rfam family: Bacterial small subunit ribosomal RNA
Source: RNAcentral
UACGGAGGGGGCAAGCGUUGCUCGGAAUCACUGGGCGUAAAGGGCGCGUAGGCGGGAUGGCAAGUCAGUCGUGAAAUCUCUCGGCUCAACCGAGAAACGUCGGCUGAUACUGCCGUUCUUGAGGGAUGCAGAGGAGACUGGAAUUCCCGGUGUAGCGGUGAAAUGUGUAGAGAUCGGGAGGAACAUCCGUGGCGAAGGCGACUACCUGGACCAGCACUGACACUGAGGCACGAAAGCGUGGGGAGCAAACAGG